This 1066-nucleotide long non-coding RNA is filed under the name Gadus morhua (Atlantic cod). Its description in RNAcentral is "lncRNA (ENSGMOG00000025907.1)". Lineage: Eukaryota; Metazoa; Chordata; Actinopteri; Gadiformes; Gadidae. The record is from RNAcentral.
GAGAGGGACAAAAAGCACUACGUGGUACAGGAAAUGCAAACACGUUUUCACUCUGAGCCAGCGUGAAUGAUGACUGAAAUAAUUCACUAUCUUGCUCGAGGAGUAAUUACUCAUACAUCAUUAGCUUACACUAAUGAUUCAAUGCAGUUUGAAAUCUGUUUGAAAUAAUGAACCUCAUCAUCACUCGAAUGAGGUAGUAUUGGAUGUCAUGACACAGCUUCUUGGCACAUACUGCCCACCGUAGUUUUUGAACAAGCAAGCACUAUUAGUUUGAAUGCAAUGUACAAUUUUACCACUAGAUGGGAGUAAUUUUUACACAGUGUCCCUUUAACGCCUCGUUUCCACAUACGUAUGUUUUUCGUAUCCGUGCUUCCGUAAAUUUACGGAAGGGGGCGCUAGUGUUUUACGUACGGACAUGAAUUUAUUUACGGUCAGCCAAAAAGAUUGGGGAACGUAUGAUAAUGGCCGUUUUUAGGAGACCGGUACUUUGGAACAUGAGGAUCGACAUAAGAUAAAAACAAAACCAACCAGGCUUGGAAAGAGAUCGGCGAGGAGUUUGCCUGCCAGGUACUUACAUGUUUUGUGAAAAACAUAAAAACUUCCAUACGGUAUCUCCGUAAAACGACGGCGAAAGUUACAUUUUUUGAACGUGUAUUACGGACAUACCGGACAGAAAUUUUACGGAGGGGAGGAGUCUCGGAGGAAAAACGGACAUUACGGAGAAUCACAUAGGAAUGAAUGGACUUUCGGUCGGAGACGGUUGGAUCGCAUACGAGAAUGUACGUAUGUCAGGCCAAACUCCUCAGCGAUCUCUUUCCAAGCCUGUUGGUUUUGUUUUUAUCUCUGUAUAUGUCGAUCCUCAUGUUCCAAAGUACCGGUCUCCGGCCAUUAUCAUACGUUCCCCAAUCUUUUUGGCUGACCGUAAAUAAAUUCAUGUCCGUACGUAAAACACUAGCGCCCCCUUCCGUAAAUUUACGGAAGCACGGAUACGAAAAACAUACGUAUGUGGAAACGAGGCGUUAAAGGGACCCUGUGUAAAAAUUACUCCCAUCUAGUGGUAAAAUUG